UUAAUGUUCUCAAGGGAUGGAUGGUA
Molecule: non-coding RNA, 26 nt
Filed under: Rattus norvegicus (Norway rat)
Lineage: Eukaryota; Metazoa; Chordata; Mammalia; Rodentia; Muridae
Source: RNAcentral